RNAcentral lists this small RNA (322 nucleotides) under Arabidopsis thaliana (thale cress). Its description in RNAcentral is "ATSL030670". The record is from RNAcentral. Lineage: Eukaryota; Viridiplantae; Streptophyta; Magnoliopsida; Brassicales; Brassicaceae.
AAUUUUUAUUUUAAACAAAAUUUCAGUUUUAUACAUUAUUUUUUAGUAUGCAUUCGUUAGAAUUCUAAAAAUAAAACAUAAGUAUAAGCUUGCAGUAUCACAUCAAAAGAUGUAAUCCCCUCCAUCACAGGAUGCAUUAAAGUUCUUUAAAUAAAACAUAAGAAUUAAUUUUUGGGAGAUUUGCAAAACUACCCUUUUGCAACAAUACCCUUUUGUAUUGUCCAUUUUUUAAAAUACCUUUUUCCUUGAACAUAAUAACCAAAUUACCCUCAUCUAAUAGGAACAUGUAAUUGGAAACGGAAUUUUUCUCGCCAAAAAAAAA